GGUAAAAUGGCUGAUUAAGGUGAUAAAUUGUAAAUUUAUUUAUGAAAUAUUUCUUUUACUC
Molecule: transfer RNA, 61 nt
Filed under: Ogadenus brumpti
Lineage: Eukaryota; Metazoa; Arthropoda; Arachnida; Ixodida; Argasidae
Also listed under: 1 other name
Description: tRNA-Tyr
Source: RNAcentral